Molecule: unclassified non-coding RNA, 304 nt
Filed under: Hevea brasiliensis (rubber tree)
Lineage: Eukaryota; Viridiplantae; Streptophyta; Magnoliopsida; Malpighiales; Euphorbiaceae
Source: RNAcentral
AAAAGCCGAAAUCUUAAAAAUUGUUUAGAAAUUUUAUCUGAAUAACCCAAAAUAAUACCUAGAAGUCCGCCCAUGAGUAAUUUGAACUAGGCUUGGCUAUCGGUUUGGUUCGGGUUGAAACUGACGGUUCAAGUCUUAGGGAGGGAGUGAACCAGAAUCAGACUAGAUCAGUUCGGUUCUAGCCAGUUUUGGUCCAAUUUUAGUCCUAUUCAAAAAUGGUUAUAAUUUUUAUUUUUUAUUGUUUUAGUUCCAAUUAAAAAAAUGAUUCAAUCCACAUGAAGCCCUCUAAAGCUGCCACCUAUUU